RNAcentral lists this ribosomal RNA (429 nucleotides) under uncultured archaeon. RNAcentral describes it as "bacterial SSU rRNA". It matches the Rfam family "Archaeal small subunit ribosomal RNA", at positions 474 to 903 of the family's 1478-position model. The record is from RNAcentral.
CACCAGCCCCCCGAGUUGUGGGGAUACUUAUUUGGUCUAAAGCGUCCGUAGCCGGCCCGGUAAAUCUCUCGUUAAAUCCAGCGUCCUAAGCGUUGGGCUGCGAGGGAGACUGCCAGGCUAGAGGGUGGGAGAGGUCAGCGGUAUUUCUGGGGUAGGGGCGAAAUCCAUUGAUCCCAGGAGGACCACCAGUGGCGAAGGCUGCUGACUAGAACACGCCUGACGGUGAGGGACGAAAGCUGGGGUAGCGAAUCGGAUUAGAUACCCGAGUAGUCCCAGCCGUAAACGAUGCAGGCUAGGUGUUGGGUCGGCCACGCGCCGGCUCAGUGCCACAGGGAAGCCAUUAAGCCUGCCACCGUGGGGAGUACGGCCGCAAGGCUGAAACUUAAAGGAUUGGCGGGAGAGCACCACCAGGCGUGAAGCCUGCGGUUU